UGUUAAGUCUAAUUGUUGAAUGUUGCCAUUGUGUUUCUUAAAUUUGUACAGUCUUAGUUUAAGCAGUAGGAUCAAAGCCAUUCCUUUGAUUCUGACCACCUCUCCAGCCACUCUGUGCUGGAGGAGGUUUUAUUGUAGAUACAUCCUAUCUGAAAGAUCUGUUUCUUUUGAUGUAAGCUUCCUGGGUUUAUGACCCUUUGGUCAGCAGGAGGUAACACACACACACACACACACCACACACACACACACUCAGUGUAUACAUUUACAUACAGUGCCUUGUCUUUGUAACCAAAGGGGGGUUGCAAGGGGAGGUGCUUUGUAAACUAUUGUUUGAAGUUUGUCAAUAAAAGGCAGCGAGAGGAGGCCACCAUUUUUUGGGGGUUCUUUGUCGUGCUGGACACAGACGAGGCCUCCCUUGUGCAAGUAAUGGAUCGAUCGACUGUCUUGUUUUCUUCAUGAUGAAUAAGUCUCUAGAAUUAGCGGGGUUUGUGGAAACACAGACCCAACAUUUAUUUGGUCCUUCGGAGCCGGAGCCUAACACAUUGCAUCCACCGAGGAGAGGGAGAGGACGCCACCGCAACGUCUGGGAUGAUUGACGUAAAGCCCUGGUGUUUUUGGCUUGCCACCAGGCCGGGAAGUUUGCACCUGACCUCCCCUCGGGAUGGAUGACGAUUGACGGGAUCCAGAGACUCUUCCCAUGAACGUAAACAAACAGUGAGUACAGAAGGCCUUAGAGAGCGUCUCUAUAACCGCGUGAAUGAAUGUGGGAUCCUAGAAACGCGUCACCGUGAUUCUGCGUGAAACGUUUGAGUCCCGGGGAGCGCUGGUCACGAGAGCGCACGUGGACCCAAAACAAUAGAGAGCGGCUACGGGCUGUGCGUUAAACGUGAGUCCGGGAGCGCGCUAGCCGCGUGAGAGAGACGCAGGCUUCUCCGCCGUUUGGGGCGUAGAGAGUUCUCCGCCAUUUGGGGCGUGGAGAGAACCUAGGUUCAGAGUCCGGAAUCUCCGCCAUUUGGGGCGUUGGAGAGUUUUCAACAGAGAGCGCUAGCUGUGCGUGCAGACGCAAGCGAUAGGCCUAUGUUGUGUGUGUGUGCGGGCCAGACGUGGUCUGCGUGAGUGUGGCUGAUUGUUGUCUUGUAAUGGAGAAUAAAAUGUGUAAGUCUGCCUUAGAAGGAGAUGUAAAAUUUAUGCAGAAAGUUUUACCAGGCAGCACGCAGUAUGUAGGUUGUUGGUAUAAGAAAUGUGGAUUUGAAGGGACAUUAGUGGAAGUUAAGUGUAAAAUGCUGGUAGAAAGAAUAUCUGUAAGUGUAGCAGGUAAAACAGGUAAAGCGAAGCAGAGGAAGGAAUUGCAGUUAGCAGUUGCUAAGUUGUGGCUGGAGCAGGCUCAGAAGAGGAGAGAAGCAAGAAUGUUAAAAGAGCAAUAUUGCAAGAAGUAGUUGUGAAACCUGAGGAUGAAACUACAGCUCAAUCCACUGCAACUACUCUAGAACAACACCGUAGAAAAGCAUUAGGAAGAGCAAGAAUGUUAGCAGAAAGUAGAGUCAGAGAAGAGCGUGAGAGAGCAGAGGUAGAAGUGGAGGAGAGAUUAGAGGCAUAUUAGGAGCAGCAUUGAGUCCAAGACAGACUAGGCAAGAGAGGAGACAGAAAGGAAAGAAAGUGAACACAAAAGUUACAACUACAUAUCCAUCCCUGACACAACACAAAAAAAACAAAAAACAUAUGGUGUUUCUGUAACAGAGUGUGAAGAUGAAGAAAGUUUUUCUCCUGAUCAAUUCCGUGAGUGUGAGAGUGUCUGACGUCAUGGUGUGUGUGAAAGGUAUCCAGCUGGGGCAGACGUGAUUCUGCAGGUCACCUGCCCAGUGGACAAAAAGAAAUAAAAUAGUUGUGUGGAUGAAUGAUAGCAUGAUGAGUGUUUGGUGUUUCUCAGUCUGAAACAGCUGUAAUGCUAUUUUCUGAUUGGAGAAAAGUACAGUUAAAGAAAAAAAAACAGAGAGAGAUGUGUGUUGUUUUAAGCAGUGAUGAGAAUAAUGGAAGUGUGGUGAGAGAUGAACACAAAAACAUACUGAAAAUGCAUUAACUAUACUAACCCCACAUGCAUAUACACAUACAAUGAUACUCGUGAGACCAGACAGCAUCUUAAGCAUGAGAUUCUGUUUGUCAUCUUGUCCAAGUCACUAGUAAGAUGAAGGUGAUACAUAGACUAGUGGACUGAAUAUUAUAGGAGGACAGAUGGUUGCAUCAUAGAGGAGGAAACAGAAUGCUGAUGAGAGGUCUUAAAUGAGUGAGUUGAGUGAGCUGAUUGUGAGUUUCUGGUGUGUGAAGAAGUUUUACCAUGGCACACAUUUAGUUACAUGAGAACUAAAACUUAUUAUGUGCUAAGACAACAGGGUUAUGCUGUAUGUUGUGUGUAUGGCUGAUUGGAUGAAUGUUUGAGAUUAAACUGGCUGUUUGAUUUGUCUUUUAUUACUAAAGUUGAACCUGCCAAUUGGGUUGUUACGAUUUAUCCCCCUGGCAUGAAGAACACGUGUCAUGAUUUAAACAAGGCCUAUCUUUCCUUUAUUUUCUUUGAUUUCUUUUAUUUUCUUUCUUUUGUUUUGUUACUUUCAUGGUGCACUGAAAGUUUUGUUUGAUGAUCUCUGUUUGAGCAGAUCUGCACGAUUAGAACCGAAGCGUCGUCGAGAAAACUGUUGCAAAGUGAGCUUCUCCAAAAUUAAAAUGGGCUCUUAUUUGGGACAAUCAGGAAACAAGUUCCUGUCCAAAAGGAUUCAACGAGGAAAUCCAGUCUAAAUUAUUUUUCUUUUUGAAAUGACGUUGUUUUGCUGAGCGUGGAAACGAAUGCGACGAUAAUUUCCACAAUUAGCAAAAGAAGGAAUCACUGAGUGAAUGAGUAAGAAUUUUAAAAUAAAUGGGGAACUGACUGACUGACAAAAGCUGACAAGACUGACUGACUUAACACCAUUGUGUGAAGUUAACCCCCACCUGACAAAGGUGUGGCUGUAUCUCUGUGUGUGUCUCUGUUGCAGGAGCAGGAGACCACAGGAGGAAACUUGGGUCACAUGACUAUGUGAACUCUGAAAAUUUAACCUUUUAGUUUAUAUUUUUCUGUGUCUGUGAAUUUACCAUGUGUGUGUUAUUCAUAGGCUUGUGUUGCUCACAGAGAUAACUGUGACAAAGUAUGCACACACCUGCGCAGCGCUAAUAUUUGCAUUUUCUUUUCUUACAGCAUGCCAGUUCUUCAUGUGAAUUGAUGAUGCGAUUUAUACCAGGACAACUGGUUGAUGUUCUUUCCCACUACAGGAUUUCUGGGUUUAUAUGUGAAUGACAUUCUUUCCACGGCUAGGGUUAGCUAACUUUAUGGUGUUUUUAUGGCACCUCUGGAACCUGUUGACCUGUGUCUGACCUCCGUCUGACCACAGUCAAUGGGUAUUGUUAAUGUUUGUUUCUCUGAGAAUGCUGUGGAGGAUUCGGCAGAAGCGGACAAGUGACAUGAGUAAAACGAAUAAGAGAUUACGAUAUUUAUGGAAUAGUUUAUUAUGGGCUCAUUUGCUGGCCACUUUUGGACCCAUAAUAAAUAUAUGAGUGGAGUGACUUUGCUUAAGAGAAGUCACCGAUUACAUUAAUGUUAACUGAGCACAUGGGAUGAUCCAUGUUUGAGGCGAAUUAUGGUAAUGAUAGUGAUUUAAUGAUUUGAGAAAACCUGCACAUGACACUUGUCUCGCCCGUGCUGAAUGCGUGUUACUUUUUUGAUAUAAUUGUUUAUACGUGUGAAGUUUGAUUUUAUUCCAGAUUUUGUGUAUGCAGGCUCCUGGUGGAGCCAGUUUUUAAGACAGGGAUCCAGGUUUGGUGAGUUGAUGCAUGAGAAGUGUCCAUGCGUCAAGAGGUGGGGUCCAGAAUUAAUAUUAAACAAUGUUUACUAUUAUUGUUGCAGUGAUUUGUGUGAUUAGCUGUUUAUUUACAAGUAUUAAACCUAUGCAAGUGGUGCAUCCAUGUUCAGAUGAGGCUUUGAUGGCCUAUAAGUGAAGUUCACUGAUUAUAAUGUGGAAUGACGUUGAGAUGUUAAAUAAUUUGGAACAAAUUAUGGGAAAAAGUAGAAGUUUAAUGAGUUUAGAAUAAACCUGCAAUGAUACUUGUCUCUGUGAUGCUGAAUACUUUAUUACUCUUAUGAUCUAUAGUUGGUUGCAAAUGUGAAGUUGUUUAAAUUUAAGACUUUGUCUUCUGUGAUACAGGAGCUGGGAGUUAAACAAGCUGAACAUUUAAGUGCUGAUUAAUGUUCUUACACAGGGUUACAGCUUGGAGUGAAGCUGCUCCAAGGGACAAACCCUGGAGAUUGUUUUAGGGAGACUGUGCAACACUCUUGUACAUGUCUCAUUGGGGAGUUGACACAUGGCGAAAGCCGUGUGGCGAGAGGAGUGUCAUUUUUUAAUUUGUAGAUAUCGUGAGGUGCCAUGAUGAGAAGGAGUGACUGAGAGGAUCGUCCACAAGAUGGAAGCUGAGGCCAGGAGAGAGUUUUCAGGAGGAUCGGAGAUCACCUUCAGCACAGAGAGCUGUGCUACUGGGCUUCCAAAGGAUUGUCACAAGGAGACUUUCAGCGUUGGAAAAUGGAACCUGAGGGAGCGUGCCAAGCUCCAAAAAGUGACAGCGCAGAGGAGGUCCAGCGAUGGACUUGUGGUUCUGUGAACAGCACAAAUGCCAGGAGCAGAGCCUGAAGUCUGGAGAUUGGAUGAUGAUAAGGCCAUGGAGAGGAAGUGCUGGUCCAGUCCAUGGUGGGAAGGUCCAUAUCGGAUGCUGCUGACGACGACCACAGCAGUGAAGAUUGCUGGAAGGAACACUUGGAUAUAUCAAGCGCACUGCAAGAAGGUGACACACAUCCAGGCCAGCUCGGAGUAAGUGGCAGGAAGACCGGGAACAAAGGGGGGGGAAAGCCUCCAGGGCCCCUCGUCUCAAUCCGGUGAAGAAACCAACUGAGCCACAGGUACUCAUCAGAAUGGCUGGGAAUGUGCUGUGCAUCUUCUUGUGCCUGUGGACCCUGAGUGGGAUGACAGGGAGCGCACUGGAACAGAGCAAACCACACCCAGUACCAGCAUGGGUUUUCAACAACUACUGGUGGCAGUUUAAGAACACAACCGCUCACAUAAACAACGAGACCAAUGGUUAUGCUUGUGAUGCCACUGGCUACACAUUCUUCUGGACUGUGGCCCUGUAGCAUCACUGAGAGCGAGACAGUUUGUCUGGUUGCUUUAGCAACACAUCCGGGAACACUGCCAACUUUUCAACUGCUCUGAACCUGAAUGGAAGGUUGAUUCACCAGUAGCUGGGAAGGUGAACUGCUCUGGUAGGACAGACCUGCUCGUCUGACUCAAAGAAUAUGACUUGUUGAAGGACAUUAUACAGUUAAACGAACUGGAAACAGGCCAAUUGCCUAUGUGUAUGAAGGACAAUGGAUUAGCCCAAGUUGGAGAUUAACCAUGGAACAUGGCAACAUCACCUAUUCUUUUGUCUUCUGCAAGAAGGAUGUAAACAGAGAAGCCUUUUGUCUACAUUUACAUCAUGAACACUUGGGGUUUUGAGCCAAGAAGAUCAAAACACCUUGAUCCAAUUUCCUUUACAAAGCUUUUUCUGUGGUGACAACAGGACAGGAGAAGAGUUGUAAAUGCAGAUAAUUCACCAGUUGACUCUAACCCCCACAGGAUGCCUACAGUGAGAAGAUUUGGGGGGUUGAUAGGAGUCAUAAAGAAGGGUGUUGACUUGCUGCAGCUUUGAAGUUAGCUGAGAGCCAUAUGGACAAACAAUAAAGUCAACUGAUGCGUUUAAAUACCUAUGUCUGUAUACAGUUGGAUUGUAGUGACACAUGAUUUUUGAGAAUGAUGAUUCUUCUUGUUUGACCUUUGACAUUCAGUUGUUUACUUGAAGAAAUACAUAAUGAAUUGCACGACAGGAGUAGAUCCGCCACAAGGCUGGAUAGCUUGGUUACCGUCUGGUCCUUGGUGGCAUCUUCUUUUGAAAAUAUUAAUUCCUGUUUUUGAACUGUUGACAUUGAUUUGCUUAUGUAUAGGAUGUAGUUUACUGUGCAUGAAUGAAAUCUACACUGACACUGUCUGAACAAAGGGUGCAUAAGUUGAAAUUUAAGAACAAUGACAAAAAGGAGGGAAAUGUUAAGUCUAAUUGUUGAAUGUUGCCAUUGUGUUUCUUAAAUUUGUACAGUCUUAGUUUAAGCAGUAGGAUCAAAGCCAUUCCUUUGAUUCUGACCACCUCUCCAGCCACUCUGUGCUGGGGGAGGUUUUAUUGUAGAUACAUCCUAUCUGAAAGAUCUGUUUCUUUUGAUGUAAGCUUCCUGGGUUUAUGACCCUUUGGUCAGCAGGAGGUAACACACACACACACACACCACACACACACACACUCAGUGUAUACAUUUACAUACAGUGCCUUGUCUUUGUAACCAAAGGGGGGUUGCAAGGGGAGGUGCUUUGUAAACUAUUGUUUGAAGUUUGUCAAUAAAAGGCAGCGAGAGGAGGCCACCAUUUUUUGGGGGUUCUUUGUCGUGCUGGACACAGACGAGGCCUCCCUUGUGCAAGUAAUGGAUCGAUCGACUGUCUUGUUUUCUUCAUGAUGAAUAAGUCUCUAGAAUUAGCGGGGUUUGUGGAAACACAGACCCAACAUGUAUGUAGUAAGAAUAGAUUCAAUAUUCCUUAUUUACUAGUGUUGUUGUUCUGUUUGUUGAGAUAAGAUAAGAUAAGAUAAAAUAAGAUAAGAUAAGAUAAGAUAAGAUAAGAUACCUUUAUUAGUCCCACGAGUGGGAAAUUUCGUAAACCACUCUGCACAAAUCUGAACAGGACACAAAUGUGUUAAUAUACAUAUAUGUUUAUACAUCAAAAAUACUGUGAACAGUUACAAACAAUAAAAUUAUGAGAUUAGACACCAAGUCUCCCCUCGGUUAUCCGGCAUCUUCCCAACACAAACACUGUAAACCAGUCACUUUAGGAAACGGGACUUUUAAAGAAAUUAAUAACAUUCAUUCAUUUUAUCCAUUUAAUUAAACAUUAAAUGGAUAAAAAAUGUGGGUAGUG
Astatotilapia calliptera (eastern happy) is the source of this 7064-nucleotide long non-coding RNA. NCBI's taxonomy places the organism in Eukaryota, Metazoa, Chordata, Actinopteri, Cichliformes, Cichlidae. The record is from Ensembl.